GUGAAUCAUCGAAUCUUUGAACGCACAUUGCGCCCCUUGGUAUUCCAUGGGGCAUGCCUGUUCGAGCGUCAUUUGUACCUUCAAGCUUUGCUUGGUGAUGGGUGUUUGUCCAAUCUUCAGAUUAGACUCGCCUUAAAAUUAUUGGCAGCCGGCAUAUUGGCCUUUGGAGCGCAGCACAUUUUGCGAUCUAAGCCUGUAUACUGGUAUCCAUGAAGCCUCUUUAUCACUUUUGACCUCGGAUCAGGUAGGGAUACCCGCUGAACUUAAGCAUAUCAAUAAGCGGAGGA
This 287-nucleotide unclassified non-coding RNA is filed under the name Setophoma sp. Its description in RNAcentral is "partial contains 5.8S ribosomal RNA, internal transcribed spacer 2, and large subunit ribosomal RNA". The stretch from base 1 to 71 matches the Rfam family "5.8S ribosomal RNA", at positions 84 to 154 of the family's 154-position model. The record is from RNAcentral. Lineage: Eukaryota; Fungi; Ascomycota; Dothideomycetes; Pleosporales; Phaeosphaeriaceae.